CAAAGGGCACUGGUUUAUUUAAAUAUAUGUCAGUGCAAGUUGUUUUAAUUUGGACAGCUCUUACAUUUAUUUUAGUUUAGGACUAGUGUAAUCCCCAUAGAGAUCCAUUGCAGGGUAUGGAGGUCCCCUGUUGGAUAGGUAGACAUCAGUCAGGGUUGCAGGUCCCCACUUGGCAUAUUUUAAAAAAAAAUAAAAAUUGACAUUUGAAGUUAUAUUAUGAAAAUAGGCAUUAAAAUAAAAUUUUCUAUGUAGUUUUUGUGUGUAAAAAAUGAUCAGAAACACUAGUCCCCUCUUGGUCAGUGUUCAGUGAUAGUCCCCUUUUUGUAAUGUAGGUAAGUAUGUGUGUGUGUGUGUGUGUGUGUGUGUGUGUGUGUGUGUGUGUGUGUGUGUGUGUGGGAGCCGGGGGGCUGUAAAAAAGCCCUGAAGGGAAAACACCCAGAACAGAUGGUUUCAAUAAACAAGUUGCUUGCUUUAUAACUAUGUUACAUUUAGAGAACGUGAAAAUUAGUAUGUUUAAUUAAUGAAUGCAUUUAACCAAUUUAUGAACAAUGGAGUAUUGUUGUGUUGUUGAAUAAUGUUUUACAUAUUUACUGCCUACAUUUCAUGAUGAUUGCCAAAAGUGUUAAAGUUACAAAGAUGUCCAGAUAAGGACAUAAUGCCUUAGGGAACAGAAUGGUCUGUGUAUGUCUUUCUGUCUGUGUGGUAUGCAACCCCCCACAGGUUACAAAGGUAUGUGGAGAUGGAGUCAGAUGAAUGAGAACAGCCCAUUGGGGGAGGAGGAAUUGUGAAGAAAGAACGACGAUAAAUACUCAUGUUUUUUGUCCUGAGCUGGUAGUCCGUCGAAUCCUGCUGUUAGGACGUGAGACGACCCAGCAUGCUGUAAACUUUUUCAUAUCUGAUCAAUAAAUAUUCAAUUUAGAUAUUUGUGUCUUACUCAAAUUAUGAACAUGCUUUGGACGCCUAAAAGUCCAACAACCUCAAGGUACAUGUAUGUACCUUUUUGAGGGUCAAAAAGGUACAUAUUUGUUCCCAACCAUUAAAAGGUACAUAUAUGUACCAUUUCUUUUAAAGAAUAAGGUACAAUGUUAAGAGACAGCCUCUGUCAUUUUUUUUUUCAUUGUUGUUCUAGACAACUGCUGUAAAUAACCAUUGUAACCAUUGUGUCAAUUUUUGUUUCCUUUAGUUGGGCACAUGGGUCUUGAAGUAGUUUUAGUUUUCUUCUGUUCAUUGACAGUGUGUUUAAUUUAAAAUUUUAAUUAAAAAAAAGUUAAUUUCACUUAAUAAAAACUUUGAUAAGAAACUCAAAAACUGCAAUUGAUUAACCAUAACUUAAACUGAAUAAAUACUGAAUCUGAAUCCCUCACACAUCCACCUGAAGAAAUGCGCUUUUAUUUUGACACGCGCCCAUCCCCCACUUCUCACGGUCGGAGUUGAGCUUCACAGAGCAGCGCAACAGGAGGACGACACGACAGACAUGAAGAGCAUUAGUUCAGCGCAAACGUUUCCCGCGCAAGUUUGAAUCUCAGUCAGGGGGGAGAUUGACUGACAGACGAACGUUACUCUACCAAACGGUUAUUCACUUAUAAAACCUUUUAAAGUUUAGCGCAAAUGUUUCCUGUGCAAGUUUGAAUCUCUCUCAGUCAGGGGGGAGAUUGACUGACUAACGUUACUCUCUACCAAAUGGCUAUUCACUUAUAAAACCGUUUAAAGUUUAGCGCAAAUGUUUCCUGUGCAAGUUUGAAUCUCUCUCAGUCAGGGGGGAGAUUGACUGACAGACUAACGUUACUCUUUACCAAACGGUUAUUCACUUAUAAAACCUUUUAAAGUUUAGCGCAAAUGUUUCCUGUGCAAGUUUGAAUCUCUCUCAGUCAGGGGGGAGAUUGACUGACAGACUAACGUUACUCUCUACCAAAUGGCUAUUCAAUUAUAAAACCUUUUAAAGUUUAGCGCUAACGUUUCCAGCGCAAGUUUGAAUCUCUCUCAGUCAGUCAGGGGGGAGAUUGACUGACUGACUGACUACUCGCCACCAAACUGUCAUUUACCCAGAAACCUUUUAAAGUUAAGUUUAGCACAAACGUUUCCUGCACAAGUUUGAAUCUCUCUGUCAGGGGGUAGAUUGACUGACUGACUGACUACUCGCCACCAAACAGUUAUUUACCCAGAAACCUUUUAAAGUUUAGCACAAACGUUUCCUCGCAAGUUUGAAUCUCUCUCAGUCAGGGGGGAAAUUGCCUGACUGACUGACUACUCGCCACCAAACAGUCAUUUACCCAGAAACCUUUUAAAGCACAAACGUUUCCUGCGCAAGUUUUGAUCUUUACCAUUCAGGAGACUGGCUGACUGGUCUCAACCAACCAUCAUUCACAAGCAAAAACUUUAAAGAUAAGUAUGAAAGUGCCCAGAGCAGUUUUCGAUGUUUACCAUUAAGGAGGCUGACUGACUAUCAUCUACCACCCGUCAUUAACACAACAAAAACUAAAGAAAUAUUACUCCAUAUGGACUAGGGGUGUCCAUGGUUAACCGAUUAACCGAUUAACCGUAAAAAAUUGUUUAACCGAGUAAAACAUUUUGCUCGGUUAAAUGGCAUCAAUGGCGUGCAUUGAAUUUAGUUGUUAUACAUUUUUGCACCACCAGAGACUGCCAAAGCGCUCCCAGACAUUAUAAUGUCCACAAGUAAUAGCAGUUUUCUAAUAUGAAGCGGGCAAAGAAAAGCACAGCGUGGGAGCACUUUAAAAUCGAGAAUGACAGGGCAAAAUGCAAGUAUUGCAAUGCAGUGCUUAUAUACUUCAUCUACAACCUAGGGGUGCUGCGGUGACAGAAUUUUCCCACCGGUUAAUGCAUGCAGACGUGCGCAUUUUACUUUCACUUUUGAAUUACGCAAUUGUUUAAAUGCAGCGCUUGCGUAAGCUGCAUUAAAUCGCGUAUGAAUUUGCGUGCUUAUGAAUAAACAGCUGGUUUAAUUAAGUCCAAGCAGUGCAACCGGCUACUCCUCCAUAAAGCGCUGCUUAAAUGAUGGGUUUAUUAUUUUUCUUGAUAAAAAAUACAACAAAACUAUCUUGCUUAUAUUAAACAUCAUAUAUGUGCAUUAUAACAAAAACGAGUAAGCACGCGGCUGCUAUCGUCUGGUCAUUCAGCUCGCCUCGCAAACUCUGACAGAAAUAAAUGAAAUCUGACACCUGCUGCUUUGUGACGUGACGCGCGUUCAGCUCCGCUGUGAAUUCAUGCAGCAGACACAUUCAGUUAUAAGUGUUCGCUCUCUCUAACGAAGCUAAAUGAUUUAAUUACAAGAAAAUAUCAAAACGACGGUGAAAGACGGUGGCGGGGUGGGCAAGUGAUCUAACCGGUGAGAGGCUGAAGCACCGGCAAUCACCGUUUCACCGACUAUCGCGGCAAACCCAGCCAACACCCGGGCAUCAUAGAGAGGCGGCCGCGGAGCCUGCGAGUACCUUCGCCCAGCCUACCAUCCCCGCGAAUGCAAAAGUCAGUGACAUACUUAAAGGGAUACUUCACCGAUUUAGCAUUCAGCUUUGUAUCUGUAGAA
Misgurnus anguillicaudatus (oriental weatherfish) is the source of this 3541-nucleotide non-coding RNA. Lineage: Eukaryota; Metazoa; Chordata; Actinopteri; Cypriniformes; Cobitidae. The record is from RefSeq and is a predicted model, not a curated record.